Non-coding RNA from Anas platyrhynchos (mallard), 5729 nucleotides. The record is from RefSeq and is a predicted model, not a curated record. Lineage: Eukaryota; Metazoa; Chordata; Aves; Anseriformes; Anatidae.
UCACAACUCCCAUUCCUCAAACAGAACUCCUUGUUUUUAUAAUACAAAAGACAAUGAACAAACAUUUAUUGUGUAUUACAAGAGGUGUCUUGAAAUUUAUCUUCAAGUUCUUUAAACCUCUGACUUAACUUCAGAAAGACUGCUAAGAGUGUGUAUUUAAGUACCACCUUUCCGUAUAUAUCGCCUGUUUGUGCUUGACUUUCAUCUGAUAAAUAAACCAUAUUUUAGGAGCACCUCCCAGCUCCUAACAGCAGGUGUGGCGUACUUUACAUCAUCCAACAGUCCAGGAAAAGUCAACAAUCUUGGAAGAAAAGGCAAGAUGUUCAGGAUUUUGCAAAUUAGAAUACUUCUCAUUGACUCUUCUGAGGACUGUGCUUAUAUUGAUUUGCUCUGGAGUAGCAAGAGGGAGCUGCAGCAAACAGUGCUACAUAACUCCUAUGACUGCCCCUUCAAAACUGCAGGCACUAUGUAGUCCUUCUUGUCUUCUGCUUAGGAGAAGGGCAGUGCAGCUGUCUUCAGCUGAAGAUAAUUUGAGAAGGACUUUAAGGUAGAGUUUUUCUCUCAUAAGAAAUUCCCCCCACAUCCAAGAUGGCCACCUGUCCCCCAGCCACUUAUCGUAGCACUUCUCCCUUCCUUGUUCCUCUCUGUCUCAGGCACCUCUAAUUCCUUUCCAAGCAUCUCCUGGGCUUUUGUCUCAUAAAGCAAUUGCUUGUUUUGUCUUAAGAGGCAAAGCCCCUAAGUCUGGCAGCCAGUGAGGGCAGCUGCCUGCUCACUCCUCAGCAGGAUGGUUGAACUGGCAAAAGUACUUUUCAACAGUGCCUCAGCUAAGAGAAUGAAGAUUUGGGUUUCCCCUUCCAGUUUGUAGGACAUGAGGGAAAAUUAUUCUGGCUCUGUCACAGCCCUGCUUGCAGAUUUAAGGCAAAUGUUUGAAUUUUAAAGAGGGGCAAUAUCCCAAAUCUGCCAGUCUCCUACAGUCACUCAGCAUCUCUUAAAAGCCUGUUCUUAAAUCUUGUGGUACUACAGCUCUUUUUAAUCAGUCAUUGUCUGCUUACUUCAGCUUACAGCUCUCAAGGGACAAUUUCACAGAGGGUUUGAUGAGGAGCAGGACCCAUGCUUGGAGCUCCAUGUCACAUACUACAAAUCAGUAGUUGUGGGAAAAGACAGGAAGAUAAAUCAGCAUGGAAAUGAUUUACUUAGCGAGUCUUCUCCACAAGGACCAAGGGAAGGGGCAGUGAUGCUAGACAAAUAAGCUGUAACAUCUCUACACAAAACAUUCAUGGUGUUUUGGGGCUGGUGCCUCUGCAAGCACAUCUUUGCAGUAGUUUUUGUGGAGGAAUGGCAGAAGGCUAAGGAAGUGGCUGUGUGUAGUCCUACAUGGCACAGUAAUACCACCUGCUAGCUUGGAUGUCCCACUUGUGCAGCAGCAGCACGCAGGUGUCUUUGCAUAUGUAGACAAGAUAUUUCCUUUUGGAGAAACCAGUAGUCCAAUUUAUAUUUUGUGGUGGGGUGGAGGGCAGUUUUCAGGCAGUUUUUGGUGCCAGACGGCGUAGGUUUACUUUGGAGGUAAAUUAGGCAGUGUCCCCUGGGAGUGGCUGGGCUGUGAUGAAGGCGUACCCAGAGAACACCAGGAGGGAGAGAAGGGAGAAGGCAGCAGGGGUGGGGAUGCAGCAAGAAGGCCUUAUUCCUGGCUAGGGGGCACACAGCAGUAUCCUCAAACCACAGGCACCCCCUGCACAAGGAAAGGACACUGAAGUUUACUCCCCGCUUCUGUCAAAGACAUAGUGCACAGAGGGGGAGAAACAGUAAGCCUUAGCUGCAGUGUGUGGGUUGUUUUGCACACAAUUGCUAGCCAUCACGCAGCAGAACCACGCCAUUUGUCUGCAAGUUAUCUGCAAAGUGUCAGUUGAGCUUGGGAUUUGGGUAAUAAGACAUCACUGAUACGGAACAGUAUAUUUAGGCUGGGGGGACAAAUGGAAGUGUAAUGUAAAACCAAGAUGAAAUAACUCAUACAUAAAACUUACUUACAAGGCAAGAGACAAGCUUGCAGACUUUUCAAGAAGCCCAUAAUUUUUCAUAGCUCUGCCACAGCUCCUCAGGAAAAGUUCAGAGAUACUGGUAUAGUUCAACUCUAAGAGACAGAAAGAAAUUUAAAAAUAUAUCUGCUGAUACCCCCCAUACCCCAAUGCAAUGAAUUGGUGGAGGCAGGUGGUGCAAUGGGUUAAUUUCCUGUUAAAAAGAGAGGCAGAAUGCAUGUCAGUGUGAAGAUCUGGUGACACCAUUGGCAAGGUGCAGGCUAAUGGUCCACAGCACGUCUGGAAGGCAGUAAGAGAGAGCAGUGAUGAGGAGGCAGUCAGUAGAAAUAUGCCCCUACACUGAGGCAGCAACAUUCUGCUGUGUCUGCGCAGCUGAGAUUCACAGGGGGCAAACCUGACUCAGGGACAAUGUGCAUCACUGAUGGUGCAGAUGGGAGAAGACUUAUAUCAAUGUGCUACACUGUCUGAGAAGUAAAUAGCUCUUCUGUAGCCAUGAUAAAUCAGUGCACAGCUUGCUGUAUACCUUUCUGGCCACCCGUGGACCUAUUUUUUCUCUUUUGUUACCUAGUUUCUGCACAGUGGGGCAGCUCUUGCUUUCUGGAACAUAAUGUCAUACUAUGCGGCAUCAGACACGUGGUUCUACAUAAACAGUGACCAGAACCUUUAAAAACAUUUUAAAAAUUGAAAAUAAUAUGUACUUACAGGGGAAGAGACAAGCUGAGAAGGUUUCCAGUAAGCCUGCUGUGCCUCUGCUGUUGCCCUCCUCGAGGGCCCAGCAGCACUGUGUGCUCCCAGGCAAUGAGUACUCUGGGGCUGAACGAGCAAGAUGAGAGACAAACUCCAAAAACCUCCAAUACUAAAAUGUGGAGAAUCAUCAGCUGUUGUUGCUUCAAGUCUCUUGGAAAGUUUCAGGUUUUGACUGUGAAAGGAUGAACAGGUACACACAAGGCCUGAGGGGGAACGAGAGGUCAUGUCACCAUGGACUGAAACCAAAGUGGGUGUCUCUCUCCACUGAAAGGGAGACCUACAGAGUUUGAUAUUUAUGAGAGGGGAAAAAUUGAUAAAAUGGCACAUUAGUUCCCAUUAGAUAUACCAGAAGAGUGAAUAGGUCUUCAAAGCAUAAAGACUGUGCACUGAAUUUCCUUGAAAAGUUGACACAACUCAUGACUUUACACCACUGUGUUGAAUUUAAUUCCAGCUCCCAACACUGCUCUAUUGGACUUCUGCAUUGCCUCUUACUGGCAAACAUUCCCAGCUCUAACUCUCCUCCAUCUUGUAGACAAAACCCUAUGGGCAUGAUAACAGCCAUGUGUGAGCUCUUCCUUACUCCAGGAAAAACUGGGGUGAGGGGGAAGGAGUCAUGUGAUAGAAAAGGUCUUUUGGCCAGAAACCUUGCACCGAUUAGAUUUGUUUGAAACCCUCACCUCACAAACUCACAUUUCCUGGCAGUACCAUUACCAUUACCAUUACCAUUACCAUUACCAUUACCAUUACCAUUACCAUUACCAUUACCAUUACCAUUAUUGUCCCAGACCUCUUGGAAAAGGGAAAAAACACAAAGUAGGAAUACUAUGAAUUUUAUGCUGCUUUGCUGACACAAACUGAGCAGGCAGUAUAGAAAAGUGGUGGAAUAUUUUACUUACUGGGGUUAAUCCUACAUGAGUACAUCCCUACAUCCACUUUCUACCUCCUUGUCUGUUUUGAGGAUUCCAUUUAGGGUGAAAGGUGGUUUGGUGCAGUAUUUUUGUAGCCUCAAGGGCCAUGGACAGGAACUGAGCACAGCCCCUUGCAAGCAGCUGGCUUGCUGGUUUUGAGCACUCCAACAUUAAAAAACUGCUAACAUUCAUUUAGUAGUGCUGUUUCAGCAGGCAGUCAAAUACUGCAGUGCUCUGCUAAUUCAUAGGAACAAUAGUCAUCCCAGUGAAAGCAAGCCAUGGGUAGGUGAAUGGACAGAAGCAAAGACAGGAGUAGACAUGUAAGAAAGUUGUCAGGGAAGCUGACUUUACAGAUCAAAGUCAUGCCACUGAGCUGGAACAUGAGGCCAUUUUCAGGUUUUAAAGUGUUUUCUCAUUGUUAAUAAUCUGGCUGAUUAUUUAAACACAGGUGGAAUAUAAAGUUAUUUUAAGCACAGGUAGCAUAGAUAAUUAAUUUCUUCUCUUACCCUAAUGUUGUAUCUUUGAGUUCAAUCAGCUGAGUAACUUGUUACUCAGUGCAGAUUUUCCAUAAGCAACUGCUCUGGUUUGAUCAAUGGCAUGAGUUUUAAUACCUAUGAGACACAAAGUUAUGUUGCAGCAAUGAGUUAGGGUGCAGCUUGAUAAUGCACUUUUCUAUCUUUGUUUGCAUGCAUGCUGAAGUACCCGGUCACUGUGUACAUAAGGCUGGUUUGCAUCUGCUACUGCACUGAAUUCGCCCUGUGUGCCUGCAGCCAUGAGCCAAGUUUGGAUAAUGAGACUUUUUGAAUAAAUUCAUAUCUGAAGAUUUAAUCAAAUGACAGCUCGAGACCGGUCAGUACAAAUUCUAGCGUCUGCCACCCUCUACUGGUGUGAAGGAGUAAAACUCUCAGAAGUCCUUUACAAGCAGCUGUGUAGUAAAUACGGAUGGAUGCUGAGAACGCCUAUAAUACACUGUUUUUUGUUUGUUUUGUUGUUGGUUUGGUUUGGUUUGGUUUAAGAAAAGCAUUUAUGCACCAGUAACUUUUAUUUUCAUGAUUACUUUCUAAAUAGUCAGCAGUGUGAUGUUCAGUCUUGGGCUAGGAGAUACACAAAGAUCCUUAGCGUGCUUCUCCGGUAAAACAUGUGUCUUAUAGGCUUAAAAUAGAGUGUUUUGAAUCACCAUGAACAACUACAGACAAUUUUCACUUUCAGUUAUGUCUCUACAAGAGAGAGUUAGGAGUUACAGCAUUGUGCCAUGUAUGGGGUCUGUCAGAUUUUGGACACAGAGAAUUUUGCAUGAGAGAGAAUUUUGCAUGACCUUCUCAUUUAGCAAUUUUAUCAUAACACACACAAGUUAUUCCUUGAGAUUACAUGGUGUUUUGUUUUGUUAUUUAUUUACUUUUUAUUCACUGACACACAGCUAGAUUAUUUCUUCUAUUGCAGCUCAACAUGUUUAAAUUAAAGAAAAAAAAUCAAAGUUUUUAUAUAGAAUUCAGCUUUCUUCUGCAUAAUUACCUGAAAUGCAGGUAUAGGAAGCCUGAAUUACAUUCCACUCCUUUGAAGCACAUACCUUGGAAAAUCAAUAAUUUAAUUUUAAAGUAACAUAACUUUUCAGGGUUUUGGUGUUCUUGGUCCAGUUAUGCAUCAUGCUAGCAGCAGUACGCUAGCCAACUACGCAGGCACAAUUAGUCACCUGUGGUUAGCUUGGGGUGCACCAAAGCCUCUGCUCUGGCAGCACCGCAAGAGACCCCCAACCUGUUUUCUUCUCUGAAGCAAGGUUGAAGAUGUAUAGGACUUCGGUACUUGUUCUUAGCAACCAUGAGGCUCUUCUUAUAAAAGGUAGACAGGCAAAAUAACAUUCCUCUGUGCUUUGUGCCAGGAGAGCCACCCAGAACCCAAUUGGACUUACUCUUCUGACAGCUCAUGAAGAAUUUUGGAGCCCUGGGGUAUUAGGAGCUGUAUUGCCCAGAUACAGAAGCUAGAUCUGAAGGGAUGUCUAAAAGAAGAAUGAACAAGCUGACCUUAAAGAGAAAGCCGGGUGGCA